RNAcentral lists this unclassified non-coding RNA (1100 nucleotides) under Zea mays. Its description in RNAcentral is "misc RNA Zm00001eb021180". The record is from RNAcentral. Lineage: Eukaryota; Viridiplantae; Streptophyta; Magnoliopsida; Poales; Poaceae.
AGAAAAUCCAAGAAAACAAAAAAAUCUAUCGCCGCUCUUCUCCUCCUCCGAUCUUUUCCUGGCGCCUGGCCUUAUCUGCCGCCGUCCCCUCCCCUGGAUUUUUCCCCAGCCGCGUGCCAUGCUUCUUCCUCCUCUCCUCUGCGCGGUGCUCUUGCUGCAGCCCCAGGUCGCCAAGUCCCUGCUCCAGCCCCAGGUCGCCAAGUUCCUGCUCCAGCCCCAUCUCCUCCUUCCUCCCUGCAGCUCCCGCGCGCGCUCCAAUCUUCUUUCCCCUGCGCGCGAGCUCCGCGGUCUCCCUGCUCCCUCGCGGCGUCCUGCUGGCCGGCGCUUGGACUGCGGCCAAGCUCCUCCAUGUCACGCCCCUUUCUCUUUCUCGAGUCUCUUUGUCGCGCCCUACGCGUCCUUGCUUCUCCCUCCCUCUACCCGUUUCCAUGGUCGUCGCCCUGUCUUGCCUUCCGUUGCCGCAUCGAGCUCGUCAAGAACUCGUCCUCGUUGGCCAUGGCAUGCUGUGACCGCGGGGACCGGGUGUACUGGCAGGUGCGCUUCCCCAAGCGCUGCUCCCUGCGCUCGUCGCGCGCCCAGUGCUCCCUCUAUCAGUUCGCCCCAGCUCGGAUCUCCCUGGUGCUCGCCUCCAGUCCCUGCGUCGUGGUUUUUCCCCCAAGCUCCCUUCCAUGGAGCUCAGUUUUCUUCCUCUCCCUCCGUGCGCGCAGAUGUUCCGCCAGAAGAUCCAGUCUCCAGGCCCCGCGCUCCUCGGACUCGGCCUGGCAUUGCAGCUCGUCGAUGCACUGCUCCUGGCCACACGGUGGUUCUACGCGCCGUGGAACCCUGCCUAUGCCCUCUCGCACCCAUCCCUGGUGCCGCGCUUGCUCAACUCACCAUGUCCGCCGAGCUCCAUAGUCAACGUGGCAGGCUGCCGUCCUCACGCGCCGGAUGCACUCUGUGCGUCCAACUCCCUAAGUCGCAUGCCCCUUAGCUCUAGAUGCUGAGCAGCAGGCCGUGCGCUGGACCCGCACCCUUCCUUCGCGAGUGUUCAUCGCGCCUUGCCUGCUUGUGCUCAGGCCUUCACCACCGAUGUUGUGAAGUUUGCCGUAACGUCGUACUGG